GCCUGAAGGGGGGACGACCCGGUCAGGGCACUUUCAGGACGCCUGACCGGCAUGGGCUUGGUGACCUCCUGGCCCCGUGGAGUUUCGGCUUUUCUCCAGCCCGGGGCGAGGAAGCUUUGAGGGAAACUCCUCUGAGAUACUAUCAUAUCUAUAAACUGAAGCACAGAGAAGUUAAGCCACUUGCCUGAAAUCACACACUGGGAAAUGUUGAGGCUAGGAUUCAGGCGUGGAGUCUGUGUUUUACCAAGUACCCCCUGUUGUUCUCAACAUGGCCUCAAUUUCUCUGGCUCUAAAAUGGGGCCAACAGCCUACUUCUCUCCUUUAUCACAGAGCCUGGCAGAAAUGAACUGGCUCGUAGAAGAUCGAGAGUGGGGUUCUGUCUGAGUCAGUCUCCUUCCAGCCUCAGAAGAUCCUGGCUGGAGUCAGGCCACUGGGAGCUGGGGGUAGGACUUUUUCUAUCAAGCUGCCAGUUGUGGGCUACUCUGGAUGAAAGCCGCUUCCUGGAUUCUCUGAGGGUCUCCCCAUUCUACCUGGCAUCCCACCCACUGCCCUUGCCACAGAUCCUGUUAUCAGGGCCUGUUUCAUGACAGUCAUGGGCCUGCUGCCAAGCAGGAGUCCAUAGAACACCUGCCCUUAGGCCCGAGGGCAAAUCCCAGGCCCUUCUCACCUAUUCCUGGGAACAAAUCUAAAAUCCCCGGUCAUUACCCCCAGGAAGGCAAAUAAAGCCAUUCAACAUGCAGUUCUAGGCUCCUAUGCCGUGCGAGGCUGAAAAGAGGCUGGAACAGGGCAUGCAGGCCUGGUUCCCUAUCCCAACUCAGGAUCCAUGGCUCUGUGACCCUGGGGCACCACUGCACCUUCAGAACCUCAGAGUCCCAUCAUCACUUUUGACAGAGCCCCUCUUUGGAAGGCUGUUAUAGGAUUAGAGAGAAGCUCUUAACUUAGUUUUCUGUUCUUUCUGCCCUCCUACCCCCAGCCUUCCUCUUUCUUGCCAUUCCAGUCUCAGCUUUAAUGUUACCUCCUCAGGAAGGACCUCCCUGACCACUUGCUCACUCAGUCUAAAGCAAGGGCCAGCAAACUUUUUCUGUAAAGAGCCAAACUGUAAAUAUUUUAGGUUUUGUGGCAUUCUGAUCUCUGUUGCAACAAUUCAACUCUGCUGUUGCAGUGGGAAAACUUAGAUGAUUUAAAUAAGAGUGACUUUGUUCCAAUAAAACUUUAUGGAUAUUGA
This is a long non-coding RNA of Mirounga angustirostris (Northern elephant seal), 1225 nucleotides long. RefSeq lists it as uncharacterized. Lineage: Eukaryota; Metazoa; Chordata; Mammalia; Carnivora; Phocidae. The transcript is spliced from 2 exons. The record is from RefSeq and is a predicted model, not a curated record.